CCUAGUGUGGAAGGCUCCGGGACUUUUCCACCGGCUGCGGGUCCGGCUUUAGUCCGGAGAGAAGAAGAAACUGCGCUUCGGGGGUUCAGCUCCAGGACACAGCGGUUCCCGGGGCCAGGGGCGGCGCUCUGCAGAGGCGAGGUCAAGGUGGCCCUGGCAGGCGUCUCCCACGCCAAGUUGGGAAGGCGCGGAGUAAGCCGCUGGGGGAAAGAAGUAUUUUUCCACGCCGGCCUGGUCCAGGAAGGAAGCCGGGAACCUUUCAGCGCUAUCGGAGUUUCACCUGCCUCUCCCUGAGGCGCCCAGGGGAAGGAAGGAUGCAGGAGUCGCACCCAGACCUACAGGCUGGACCGGACCUGCAGAAGAACAGGGGCUUUUUAGGAUCCAUCGCUCACAGUCCCAUAGUUCCUGGGGCAGAGAACACCCCCUUCCCCUCUCUAAGCCUCAGGUUCAUCAUCUGUGAAAUAUCGAAACCUAAAGUGCAGGGGAUGGGGCAUUGUACACAAUGAAUGAGACCACCUGUGAAACCCUGUGGUCUAACAAUAGUGUUCACACUUUUCCUUCCGGGAAGGUAGGAAGCCAGUUCCUAGCAGUAAAAUCUAGCCCCUCUGGAGGUUUAGGAUUCUCAGAAUCAGGCAGAUCCAGUGCUGGGGUUGGAGGGACCGGGAGAUUCAGAAUGAGCAGGCAAUUUGCAAAGGAGCUUCUAAGCAAAUUCUCCUCCCUUCCCACCUUUAAAAGACAAUUAGGAGGAAGGGGGGAAUUUCAGCACGGGUGGGGUGGGGAGGGUCUGCAGUCCUGUCUGCUUGUUUCAGGAUCAAAUCUCCCAGGUGUAUGAGGGCUGAAACUCCAGAUGUGGCUGAUCCAAGUCAGGCUGCUAAGGAGCUAGGCUGCCUCUUUUAAAUACAGGGUCUGCUCCACACGCCUGGGCGACCCAUGAGAAAGGGGUGGUUGUAUGCACAGAGCUCUGGGGUACCUUUACACCGUCUCAGUGUCUUUCCCGGAGAGAGGGGUAAUAAGUUCAUAGAAACGAGGGCUCUUCAUUUCACCUUAUUGUCUUCUAGUUUGUUGUGACAUACGGCAGAUCCUUGGCCCUCACAAUUCAGCCCAAUGGGAGAACAUUUUCUGCCUACCCAGCUCCCCUCAACGGGGAUAAUGAAGUGUUCAGAGUAAAUGUCCCUGGAGAACAAUCGCUUUUUCUCUGUCUCUCACUUACUAUCAGGAUAGAAGCAGUCAAGUGUAAUGAAGAUCAGUUUCUGUGUUUAGCUGGAAAACCCAUUAAAAAACCAGCCAUCACUUCCCUUUUACCAACAAAGCUUUGAUUUGUAGUUCCAA
Long non-coding RNA from Balaenoptera musculus (blue whale), 1329 nucleotides. RefSeq lists it as uncharacterized. NCBI's taxonomy places the organism in Eukaryota, Metazoa, Chordata, Mammalia, Artiodactyla, Balaenopteridae. The transcript has 2 exons. The record is from RefSeq and is a predicted model, not a curated record.